UACGGGGGGGGUAAGCGUUGUUCGGAAUUACUGGGCGUAAAGGGCUCGUAGGCGGCCAACUAAGUCAUACGUGAAAUCCCUCAGCUUAACUGGGGAACUGCGUGUGAUACUGGAUGGCUUGGAUUUGGGAGAGGGAUGCGGAAUUCCAGGUGUAGCGGUGAAAUGCGUAGAUAUCUGGAGGAACACCGGUGGCGAAGGCGGCUCACUGGACCGGUUCUGACGCUGAGGCGCGAAAGCGUGGGGAGCAAACGGG
This 253-nucleotide ribosomal RNA is filed under the name uncultured bacterium. Its description in RNAcentral is "partial 16S ribosomal RNA". It matches the Rfam family "Bacterial small subunit ribosomal RNA", at positions 524 to 776 of the family's 1533-position model. The record is from RNAcentral.